Molecule: ribosomal RNA, 512 nt
Filed under: Abacarus sacchari
Lineage: Eukaryota; Metazoa; Arthropoda; Arachnida; Trombidiformes; Eriophyidae
Description: partial 28S ribosomal RNA
Source: RNAcentral
AUCGGAGCCACGAAGUCGUUUCGUUGUUUAGUCUGGAUCAGGUUCAGCGGGUGAUCGCGAGGUUCCCGUGUAUUCCUGGGUCUGGCCAAGCAUUGUAAGCGUACACUGCAACCAGUUAGACGAUCAGUAGUGGGUCAAGUGUUGUGAGUGGCGAGCAAUCGUCGCGAGCUUCACGAACAAAUUGUCCAUCUUGGUUAGUAGUAGCGCGGUUGUGCUUCGGCAUAAUUCGUGUUGCUGGACCAUAAUGGGUGAACUACAACUGAAUACUGACUGGCGAAAUGAAAAUCGCUUCCCUAUGGGAGCGUUAGAGACAAAGCUGCCAACACCAUAUAAAUCUACACACUCGACUGUUAAGUCUAAGCUUGGCGUCUUCGAAUUCAGACUUGCUUGCUACCAGUGGGGCAACUCCUGGUGCUUGUAUAGCUUCUGUCUAAUCAGGCGUCGACUUGGCCUAGCAUCGUUCGGAUGUGCUACGAUUGGGUUUGUAUGUUAGCUGGUAAGCAAUGUGAAUU